Molecule: ribosomal RNA, 712 nt
Filed under: uncultured bacterium
Lineage: Bacteria
Description: bacterial SSU rRNA
Rfam family: Bacterial small subunit ribosomal RNA
Source: RNAcentral
GCCCUUCACUACGGAAUAGCCUCUGGAAACGGAGAGUAAUACCGUAUGCGCCCUUCGGGGAAAGAUUUAUCGGUGAAGGAUUAGCCCGCGUCUGAUUAGAUAGUUGGUGGGGUAACGGCCUACCAAGUCGACGAUCAGUAGCUGGUUUGAGAGGAUGAUCAGCAACACUGGGACUGAGACACGGCCCAGACUCCUACGGGAGGCAGCAGUGGGGAAUCUUAGACAAUGGGCGCAAGUGAUCUAGCCAUGCCGCGUGAGUGACGAAGGCCUUAGGGUCGUAAAGCUCUUUCGCCAGGGAUGAUAAUGACAGUACCUGGUAAAGAAACCCCGGCUAACUCCGUGCCAGCAGCCGCGGUAAUACGGAGGGGGUUAGCGUUGUUCGGAAUUACUGGGCGUAAAGCGCGCGUAGGGGAUUGGAAAGUUGGGGGUGAAAUCCCGGGGCUCAACCCCGAACUGCCUCCAAAACUAUCAGUCUAGAGUUCGAGAGAGGUGAGUGGAAUUCCAAGUGUAGAGGUGAAAUUCGUAGAUAUUUGGAGGAACACCAGUGGCGAAGGGGCUCACUGGCUCGAUACUGACGCUGAGGUGCGAAAGUGUGGGGAGCAAACAGGAUUAGAUACCCUGGUAGUCCACACCGUAAACGAUGAAUGCCAGACGUCGGGGGGCUUGCCUUCGGUGUCACACCUAACGGAUUAAGCAUUCCGCCUGGGGAGUA